This 468-nucleotide ribosomal RNA is filed under the name uncultured bacterium. Its description in RNAcentral is "partial 16S ribosomal RNA". It matches the Rfam family "Bacterial small subunit ribosomal RNA", at positions 28 to 507 of the family's 1533-position model. The record is from RNAcentral.
GACGAACGCUGGCGGCGUGCUUAACACAUGCAAGUCGAACGGAAAGGCCCUGCUUUUGUGGGGUGCUCGAUUGGCGAACGGGUGAGUAACACGUGAGUAACCUGCCCUUGACUUUGGGAUAACUUCAGGAAACUGGGGCUAAUACCGUAUAGGAGCUCCUGCUGCAUGGUGGGGGUUGGAAAGUUUCGGCGGUUGGGGAUGGACUCGCGGCUUAUCAGCUUGUUGGUGGGGUAGUGGCUUACCAAGGCUUUGACGGGUAGCCGGCCUGAGAGGGUGACCGGCCACAUUGGGACUGAGAUACGGCCCAGACUCCUACGGGAGGCAGCAGUGGGGAGUAUUGCACAGUGGGCGGAAGCCUGAUGCAGCAACGCCGCGUGCGGGAUGACGGCCUUCGGGUUGUAAACCGCUUUCGCCUGUGACGAAGCGUGAGUGACGGUAAUGGGUAAAGAAGCACCGGCUAACUACGUG